GAACAUAAUCACUCUUCAAGGGUGAGGCAUUUAAUUUAUUCCACAGGGAUUCGUUUCAAUCCUUUUCGAAAGCUAAUCUCUGCUUUGAAUUCCUGGUGUUUGCCAUUGAGGAAGGGCACACGUAAGAGCCUGCUCAAACCUCCCUUCCCCUUUAAAGCCAUGUCUGAAAAAGAUUAUUUUCCUCCUGCAGCUCCAUUUUCGAUUUGGUCUGAGUCAAAUCGCUGGAUGACCCUGGGAAUAGCUGGCUUCACUGACAGAGCUUUUCCUGAGUCUGCUGACAUCCUUUCUGAUGUGGUUACCCAGCUGGUGCCCCCACCACUCCUUUGCAUCCAGCCAGUCCAGGACACAAGAAACAAGAGGAUAUUGAGCUCCAACAACUGAAAAAAAUGGGAGGACCUUUACCAAGUAUAUUAAAGGAAGUAACCAGAAACCAUUAUCAUUCGCCAACUGAAACAGGGAAACACUAUCCCUAAUAACAUUAAAACAGCAUACUUUUCAAACUAUUUUAGUACCAAGAAAACAUCCAGUGGUUGUGUUUACAAGAAGAGUGGGAGAAAGAGAAGUAGUAUUGGUGAAAUAUCCUAUGUUACAACCUGCAUUACUUAGCCAUUUUGACCUAGAAGAGGAAGAAAAAUGUUUUCGGUUUAUUUCCACAUCAUUUAGGUUAUUAUUCUUAGAGGAUUGGGAUGAAUACCUUCCUGGAAAAAAUGGUUUGUGACAAUACAUGGUGUUUGGGUCUUCUUUAGUAUAAUUGUAUAUGCAAAAAUAAGGAGAAAAAUACUUCAGUUAUUAAACUUCGUCAUGAAAGCUGAAGGGUAUUGUUUCAACCCUUAUUGCACCAAUAGGAUAUAAAAUUCAAUAUGUCAGGCUUAAAUGUGUCUACCUCUUUGCCAUUUUGUAGAAAUUAUACCCAUGAGUUUUAUGAAUUAUUGGCAAAAUCUAAAUUAUUUCAAUGGAAAUGAGCCCAUUCCAGAAGGGAUUUGUUGGAUACAAUCCUGGGAGGAAUAGGUACAAGAACAGGAAUUGCAUAUGCCUAUGAUAUUGAGAUCCAGGCAAACAAGUUCCUUGGGACAAUUACAGUUUCAGAUAUUGAGAUUGCAAGGAGGUGAUACAGUUGAUUCAUACAGGUUACAUUUGUUGGAAGCAGGACUCUCAGAAAAAGCCAUGCAGGCUAUGAAUAAAACAGUAUUUCAAAUACUUUAUAUAAGAAAUAAAACUGCUGUGGCAAUAUGACAAUUGGCGUGGAAUUUAUAGGAACGUGUCCUUAUGUUAGAGAAAAAUGUAGAAGGGGUUCCUCGUGCAAUGGGUUUACAGAAAGAAUGGGCAACUAUUGAUGGUUGGUACCACCUAUAUAUUUAUAAAUGGGGAAAGGAUAUAUUGUUUAUGAGAAUAAUAUCUUUGUAAAAUACCACUCAAGGCAACAUUAGGAGAGGAGAAAUAUGUAAAGUUGCAGCAAAAGUUGGUAGUUACGGACCAAAACUUAUUCUAUGGAUAUGUUACGUGUAAAUCUAGUGUGGGCCUUAUAAAGGAUAAUAGGACUUUUGAGCCGAAUAGAAUGUCAUUUACAAAGGUUAACAAAUUAAUAAUAAUGAAAUACGAUGUAUAGUUGCCCAGGAAUCUGCUCUUACUGAAUAUCAUUGGUGGGAUAUCUUUUAUGUCUACUCAUUGAAAGCAUCUGCUUUUUUUCUUUUCUUUUUUUUUUUUUUGAAAUCAUUUAUUCAGCUUACUGUAAUUUUACUGUCAUUACUUUUAUGUCCUGCAUCUUAUUUUGAUGCUUACAACGUAUUAAUACUACUAUUCAAGUAUGUACUGCAUUUCUUAAAGAAUAUAUGUGAUUUAUUAUUUAUUAAUAAAUCAAGAAGGGGAGACUGUGAGGCCUAAAAAUGAAUUACCUCCAUAAUCAACUACCUCUAUAAUCAAUAAAACGGUUAUUUCUAAGAAGAUUUGUGUCAUUUUGUUUCUUCUUGAAAACACUCUGAUCUAAAAGAAUCUCCUGUCAUUAGACUUAUGACACCCAUCCUACUCCAUCUCUUCUAGCUAAGCUGCAGCAAUAUCACUGUCAGGAGGGCAGCUCUGCUUCUGUAUUAAACCAUUUAAACAAACAAGGGAGUUUUCUAUUAGGGACAUGAAGGAGAAGUUCAUUUUGGUUUAAUUUUAAU
RNAcentral lists this long non-coding RNA (2159 nucleotides) under Podarcis muralis (Common wall lizard). Its description in RNAcentral is "lncRNA (ENSPMRG00000019532.1)". Lineage: Eukaryota; Metazoa; Chordata; Lepidosauria; Squamata; Lacertidae. The record is from RNAcentral.